Molecule: non-coding RNA, 1822 nt
Organism: Arachis ipaensis
Lineage: Eukaryota; Viridiplantae; Streptophyta; Magnoliopsida; Fabales; Fabaceae
Source: RefSeq, a predicted model, not a curated record
AUAAUAAUCCAAAUAAAAUCUCUCUAUUAAUCUGUGAACUCAAAGUAGUUUUUUCUCUAAAAGAGCUAGAAAAAUUUAAUUAUUUUCUAGGCUUGGAAGCUAACUAUUUACCCAAGGGAUAGCUGCUAGUUACUCAAUCCAAAUAUGCCGCAAAGCUUCUGAAAAAGUUAGGAAUGGAACAUUCAAACCCAUUACCAACUUCGAUGAUGACAAGCAUCAAAUUAUCAACCAAUGAUUCUGAAGCGUAUCACAAUUCGAGAGAAUAUCGAGCAAUUGUUGAUGUGUUGCAAUAUUUGACCAGACCUGACAUUUCAUUUCCAGUUAAUCGGGUGUCUCAAUUUAUGCACAGUCCAACAAUACAACAUUAGAAAAAUGUCAAGCGUAUACUUAGAUUCGUCAAAGGUACAGUAAACUAUGGUAUUUUAUUUUCAAAAUCUACUGACUUUCGUAUCCUUGCAUUUACAGAUGCUAAUUGUGGUGAAGAUUUGGACAAUCGCAAGUCAAUUACUGGAUACUGUAUUUAUUUCGUUUGUAAUCUAAUCUCGUAGAGAAGUGUGAAGCAAACCAAGGUGAGUCGCAGUAGCAGUAGCACAGAGGCAAAAUAUCGAGCGGUUGCGGCAGCACAAGCAAAGAUCAUGUCCAUCCAAAAGCUUGUGAGAGAGCUCAAGAUACCUCAACCAGUAGCUCCUACCAUAUACUGUAACAAUCAAGAAAAAUCAAUUCUCCCAGUCCUCUUCUCCUUCUCCUUGCUCGUUGGUUGCUUUCCCAAACUGUUUUCGCUGCGUGCUCCCCUGCUUCACGCCAUCCUGUCAUGGCCCGUGUCCCGCUUUGUCCCGCCUUCACUGCCCUGCCUCGCACCGGCAGGCUGUCGCCGCCCUCCCUCGUGCCGUUGGGCUAUCGAAGACUUGCCUCACGUCGUCUAAGAGGCCAACAAGAGUGGUAACAACUGGUUACCUCUACCAUGGGCAAUUGUUGCCUUGCUUAUUCUGGGAUUUAACGAGUUUAUGACACUUCUAAGGUGAGUGUUAGCUUUAUAAUAUGCAAAUAUAUAAUGUGUUACUGUUAAACUUGUGUUCACGCAAAUACCACUUUACUCCAUCUACGUAAUGUAAUUGGUCUAACCCAAGUUUGUUAUUCUAUGGCAGAAAUCCUUUAUAUUUGAUUCUCAUUUUUAUUGGUUAUCUUGUCAUUAAAGCCCUAAGCCAUAUGGGUGCAACAUGACGUCGCGGGUGAUUUUCGCCAUGGUGCAGUGAGCAUCUCUAGAAUGACCGUUGAUUAGUAACAAGUUCAUUAAUCUAAUAUAGCUAAUGACUUUGGUUGCACACACUAAUAGCAAUUCUGUGCAAUUUCAUAUGACAUUUAGUAUAUAAAUUUUAGUAUAUAGAUGCAUAUGGCUUGUGGAGUCUAACCAAGUUUGCAUAUGCCUUUUUUUCAGCUAGCUGGACUCCUAUCCUGUCUAUCAAGCUUCUUCCAACUAUAAUGAACCUUAUGAGAAAGCUAGCAAAGGAGGGGUUCCUCAAACUAACAAUCCUUGGCCAUAUCUAUCAACAAGUAAUCAAACUGCUGGUAGCACUGUGUCAUCUACUACUUCAUCGAAGGUAACUAUUUUGGAACGUGGAACCGAGUGCACAACUCAUCUUUAUGGCAGUGCCAAAUCUUAUGUUGAGGUGUGAUAGCAAUCCAAUACUGGUUUGUGGCAAUUCAAAUAUUUAAUGCAUUAAUAAGCAUGAGUAUUUAUGCAAAUGCAACAUACAAUUUUUUUAUUUUAUUUUAUUUUUUGUUACAAUUAACCUACCCAUUGAAAUAGAUAUAUUUUUUCCAA